Alosa sapidissima (American shad) is the source of this 179-nucleotide long non-coding RNA. RefSeq lists it as uncharacterized. NCBI's taxonomy places the organism in Eukaryota, Metazoa, Chordata, Actinopteri, Clupeiformes, Clupeidae. The record is from RefSeq and is a predicted model, not a curated record. The transcript has 3 exons.
UUACAAGAGAGAGAUAGAUAGAUAGAUAGAUAGAUAGAUAGAUAGAUAAAUAGAUACUUUAUUGAUCCCCAGGGAAAAUUCAAGAACAACAAACCAAAAACGAGUGUUACUGUUAUGUAAGGGAUAAUGUAUAGAACGCCGGUCAUUAUUGGGAAAAUAAGUCCUGAUAGGGCGAACCG